AAUAUACUCUUUCAGUCCGAAAAUACUUGUUGAAGAUAUUGAUAAAAAUGGAUGUAUGUAAAACUAAAACACGUCUAGAUACAUCUAUUUUUUCGACGAGUAUUUUCGGAUGGAGGGAGUAGUUU
Triticum aestivum (bread wheat) is the source of this 125-nucleotide non-coding RNA. NCBI's taxonomy places the organism in Eukaryota, Viridiplantae, Streptophyta, Magnoliopsida, Poales, Poaceae. The record is from Rfam.